RNAcentral lists this ribosomal RNA (497 nucleotides) under uncultured bacterium. RNAcentral's name for it is "partial 16S ribosomal RNA". It matches the Rfam family "Bacterial small subunit ribosomal RNA", at positions 899 to 1397 of the family's 1533-position model. The record is from RNAcentral.
ACUCAAAUGAAUAGACGGGGGCCCGCACAAGCGGUGGAGUAUGUGGUUUAAUUCGAAGCAACGCGCAGAACCUUACCUGGGCUUAACAUCCUCUGACACCUGCAGAAAUGUAGGGUUCCCUUCGGGGACAGAGAGAUAGGUGCUGCAUGGCUGUCGUCAGCUCGUGUCGUAAGAUGUUGGGUUAAGUCCCGCAACGAGCGCAACCCUUGCCUUUAGUUGCCACCAUUAAGUUGGGCACUCUGAAGGGACUGCCGGUGUUAAACCGGAGGAAGGCGGGGAUGACGUCAAGUCCUCAUGGCCCUUACGUCCAGGGCUACACACGUACUACAAUGGCAGAGACAAAGGGUUGCAAAGCCGCGAGGUGGAGCUAAUCCCAAAAACACUGUCUCAGUCCGGAUUGGAGUCUGCAACUCGACUCCAUGAAGCUGGAAUCGCUAGUAAUCGAAGAUCAGCACGCUUCGGUGAAUACGUUCCCGGGCCUUGUACACACCGCCCGU